UUCGGUUCGGGGGGGGGGGGGGGGGGGUAGGUUCAUUUCGGUACGUUCCGGUACGAUUCGGUACGGUGUACCAUUCCGUCUGGUUCGGUAAACACAAAUUAAAACAAAAAUUACUAAUUUCUUGUGUCUCGCUUACAUGUGUGUGAAAUUGAGGAUGAAGGUGGGAAAUUGAGGAUGAAGGUGUGAUUAUUGAGGCUGGAAUUGUAGAUAUAUAUACAUGAUUGGCGAUUUCUGGAAUUUUGGUAAUUGGUUAGAAAAUAUGGUAACGUCGAUACGGUAUCUAUAUUUUUCCCGCUCUUUCACAAGCCCGCCAACAUACGUAUUGGCGCCGUAUCCAAUCCUAAUACGUAUUGACCCUUAAAAUUCGCUAUUAUUGCAAACGAAACGAAAUUCAGUGAAUUGGUGCAGGAAAUUCGCAGAAUAAUGAAACGCUGAAUUCAUGGAGCGAAUUCGUGAAUUCGAACCGUAUUAUACGAAAACGAAUUCCGUAUGGUACGAAACGUACCAAUACGAAAUUCCCCACUUUUCUAGUGAAUUCUGUGACUAUUGUUUUUUCUUACUUUAACCUGAAACUAGGGUAACGACAAGUUAACGUGCAAGUUAAAGAAUGGGAAGUGGGUUGAACAGUUAUAAAAUAUCAGUUAAUAUACAUAUCUAUACUCUCUCUCUAUAUAUAUAUCAUAGUUUUCAAUAGCGAGCGUAGCGAUCGCUAUAGCCCACUACAUAGUGUAUAGGUCUAGGCUCGCUAUUAGGGUUGUAGCGAUAGAUAGCAAUGAUGGUGAGAAUUUUUUUUAAUAUAAAUAGCAAUUAAAUAUAGCUAUAAAAUAGUUGUAUUUUAGGUUUUUGUUAAAUAUACAUGUAAAAUAGCAUAUAUACCAGGUAUUUUGAUAUAACAUACAUAUAAUUUUUUUUUAAUUUUUUUCUAGUGUGUCGCUAUUUAUAAAAUAGCAGCCCGCUAUUUAUCGCUAUUCGCUAUGUAGCAUAUAGGUACCUUAUCGCUAUUUGUCGCUAUUCAACAUUAACAACUAUGCUCUCUGUGUGUGUAUAUAUAGGGUUAGGGUAAAAUGAAAGCUCCUACGAGUUGUGAGAACUUAGAGAACUUGGCCUUAGAAAAGGUUU
This 1119-nucleotide long non-coding RNA is filed under the name Helianthus annuus (common sunflower). RNAcentral describes it as "hypothetical non coding rna". The record is from RNAcentral. Lineage: Eukaryota; Viridiplantae; Streptophyta; Magnoliopsida; Asterales; Asteraceae.